AAAAUGGUCAGUUGACCCCUUUAGGAGUUAUUGACCUUUAUAGUCAAUUUUUAACCAUUUUUUCGUAAAUCUUAGUAAUCUUUUACAAAAAUCUUCUCCUCUGAAACUACUGGGCCAAAUUAAUCCAAACUUGGCCACAAUCAUCUUUGGGAUAUCUAGUUUAAAAAAUGUGUGGCGUGACCCGGCCAACCAACCAAGAUGGCCGCCAUGGCUAAAAAUAGAACAUAGGGGUAAAAUGCAGUUUUUGGCUUAUAACUCAAAAACCAAAGCAUUUAGAGCAAAUCUAACAGCGGUUAAAGUGUUUAUCAGGUGAAGAUCUAUCUGUCCUGAAUUUUUCAGAUGAAUCGGACAACCUGUUGUUGGGUUGCUGCCCCUGAAUUGGUAAUUUUAAGGAAAUUUUGCUGUUUUUGGUUAUUAUCUUGAAUAUUUAAAUUAUAGAUAGAGAUAAACUGUAAACAGCAAUAAUGUUCAGCAAAGUAAGAUUUACAAAUAAGUCAGCAUGACCAAAAUGGUCAGUUGACCCCUGAAGGAGUUAUUGCCCUUUAUAGUCAAUUUUUAACCAUUUUUUCAUAAAUCUUAGUAAUCUUUUACAAAAAUCUUCUUCUCUGAAACUACUGGGCCAAAUUA
RNAcentral lists this long non-coding RNA (627 nucleotides) under Mytilus galloprovincialis (Mediterranean mussel). Lineage: Eukaryota; Metazoa; Mollusca; Bivalvia; Mytilida; Mytilidae. The record is from RNAcentral.